UAACAUUUCAGUUUAAUGUUUGUUUUAAACAGGAAUUUAUUAACAUUAUUACAUCGGAAUGAGACGUCUUAUGAACACAUGGCACAAUAACGUUAUUUACAGUUCGUCAGGAAGCCAAACACACACGGACACAGAGGACGAGGAGGAGGAGGGCGGAGCAGGGGUCUGGGUAGUGAAUACGGCGACCGACGCCCUGAAAACAACCCCUGAAUGAGCUCCAGAUAACACCGACCAAUCAGAGCGAGACAGCUCGCGCUCGUGUUCAAGGUUAUUCGGGGGAAAAGUAAAAAAAUUAAAAUUAAAAAAACAAACAAAAAAAAAACAGAAAAGAAAAGCACUGCACGUUUUUAUUCCCCCGAGGAAAUGAAAAGAAAAGGACGAAGAAGCUGCUGCUCGAUCGUUUAAACGAUACAGCGAGUCCAUCAGGGGUCGUCAGCACAGUGCUAGGCUACACGGUCCGAAAAUACAAACACGACGUCUACAAUCGAUCAAACGAUGUCCAGUUUCUCCCCCUCCCUGGCUCCGGCUUCUUUUUUUUUUUAAAUAAACUAAUAAAAAAAUUCCAAGUUUUAUUUUAUCUUCACCAGCUUAUAGUGCUUUUAAAGCUAAUUGCACAUAAAGAUUUUAGUUGUGGUAGUACAGAUACAUGUGGUGUGUGUGUGUGUGUGUGUGUUUAUGGGAGUUUUAAACACAUCUUUAGAUUGAGUGUCUUUUCUUUUUUCUUGGCAGCAUGUUUGACGACUCUCGACAUCGGAGAGUGUGCGUGUGAGAGUGUGCGUGUGAGAGUGUACGUGUGAGAGUGUGCGUGUGAGAGUGUGCGCGUGUGAGAGUGUGUGAGAGAGAGCAUGUCAGUGUGCAGUCAGGUAGUCCUGUGUGGAGUCGGAGGCGAAGGAGUCGGCGUCGUCGUUGUCCGAGUCGUCGGUGGAGUCGUCGGCGGCGGGCUCUCCGCUCAGAGCGAUGCGAGCGUAGUCGUCCGUGUCGAUGGAUUGCAGAAGUGUAUGGCGUACUUCAGUUUCUCCUCCAGCACCAGUUUGCACGAGUAACGAGGCAGCUUGAGCAGGAAGAAGCACGUGUAUGACUCCGGCAGGAAGUGGUCUG
Molecule: long non-coding RNA, 1098 nt
Organism: Ictalurus punctatus (channel catfish)
Lineage: Eukaryota; Metazoa; Chordata; Actinopteri; Siluriformes; Ictaluridae
Source: Ensembl